Molecule: ribosomal RNA, 237 nt
Filed under: Klebsiella pneumoniae
Lineage: Bacteria; Pseudomonadati; Pseudomonadota; Gammaproteobacteria; Enterobacterales; Enterobacteriaceae
Description: partial 23S ribosomal RNA
Rfam family: Bacterial large subunit ribosomal RNA
Source: RNAcentral
UUAAGCGACUAAGCGUACACGGUGGAUGCCCUGGCAGUCAGAGGCGAUGAAGGACGUGCUAAUCUGCGAAAAGCGUCGGUAAGGUGAUAUGAACCGUUAUAACCGGCGAUGUCCGAAUGGGGAAACCCAGUGUGAUUCGUCACACUAUCGUUAACUGAAUACAUAGGUUAACGAGGCGAACCGGGGGAACUGAAACAUCUAAGUACCCCGAGGAAAAGAAAUCAACCGAGAUUCCCC